RNAcentral lists this transfer RNA (82 nucleotides) under Flavobacteriaceae bacterium. RNAcentral's name for it is "tRNA-Leu". It matches the Rfam family "tRNA". Rfam says of the family: Transfer RNA (tRNA) molecules are approximately 80 nucleotides in length. Lineage: Bacteria; Pseudomonadati; Bacteroidota; Flavobacteriia; Flavobacteriales; Flavobacteriaceae. The record is from RNAcentral.
GCUUCGGUGGCGGAAUUGGUAGACGCGCUGGAUUCAAAAUCCAGUUCUCUCGAGAGUGUGGGUUCGAUUCCCACCCGAAGUA